Molecule: non-coding RNA, 1613 nt
Organism: Heterocephalus glaber (naked mole-rat)
Lineage: Eukaryota; Metazoa; Chordata; Mammalia; Rodentia; Bathyergidae
Source: RefSeq, a predicted model, not a curated record
UGGAAAGUGCCUGCAUUGGAGCAUUCAAGGCUGGGUGAAUCAGCGGAUCUCACCUCCCAUUGACUGCUUUGGACAGAUCAUUUGCACAGUGAGCAACUCUUACAGCCUUUUGGGGCAGGCCUGAGAGCAAUACCACAGGAUGCAAAUGGGGUCUGAGAAGUGCAAGUCAUUCCAGGAAGGAAACGCACUUAGAGCUGUCCCGGAGACGCCAUGGCCGAGGAAAUGGGUGCUGAGUCUUGAAAGGCAGGGUUGGGGGGAGGAAGAGAAAGGAGUCAGGGAAGACCUCCGUGUGGAGAGAACCGCGAGCUUGGGGAGAUGGCAGAGACGGCCCGGAGAUCCACUUGGACUCCCAGCCGCCCCCGCUCAGAAAGGCCACCAAGGACUCUCCUCUUGUCCCCAGCUUCUGCCUGUGCCCCCCCUACAGUUUCCAAACCCCCAGCCCAAGUGGCACAAUGUCGCUCCUCUGUCCCCUGCAGUCUCCUUAUGGGAAGCUAAGGGCAUUCGGUGGCCCACAAACCAUGUGGAGCCCGCCUGUGUUACACCUCCUCCUGUGCCUUUCUCGGGCCCCUUCAUUCAGCCACCACUUGCGUGAGUCACUCGGAACCCUUCACACACCUCCCGGCACACCCCAACCUCAGGACCUUUGCACGAGCUGUAGCCCCGUCCUGGGGAUCCCUCCCACGUAUCUCUGUCUCAUCUCUGGCUCUCUCUGCCCCCCUCGGGACGCCACUCACACGCCACACCUCAUACACAUCUUCUCUUUUAACCUACGGAAAGGAGCAAACUGCGCCCAACUCCUGACCUCCUUCCUUUCUCUUAAUGUCUUUACCACACAUUUUGGCACAUUGUACAACGUUACCAGUGUUCUGUUUGAAUCCGGUUUCCGUUAGGCUGGGAGCACCACAAGUGUGGGCUUUAGGGUCUGUUUUGCGUACUAUGAUAUCCCCAGCCACGGCGCAUAAGCCGAGAUGGCCGGUUAAGUUCUUGGGAAAUGAAGUUUUCAUCUCCUUCAUGGCAGCCAGUCUACCUUUGGUAAUGCACUCAUCAGUCACUUUGAUGAAUUCGUGAGCCGUGUCACAUGACAAGCACACACUGCUGUCUUAGUUUUCUCUGACUCUGCAGUGUUUGUGUUGCCAUAUGCCACUGCACUGUGGUGACUUUGGGACAAUUUCUAUGCUGCCACGGCCAGCAAGGAAGUGCCCCUGGAGUACAAGGAAGUGAAUCACACCCAUCAUGGCUGUAAUGACCUCGCUGUUUCCGAUGGAGCCUCUGACUGCUGUCUGCACUUCCUGCGGCUGAGGUCUAAGCUGAGUGUCAGGCACUACAUGCCAAUCAAGAGUCAUGAAAGAACCAGUUUGAUGAGCAGGAAACUGAUGAAUUUAAUGCCAGAAGAUCCCCCCUCAGUUCAACUCCUAAAGGGAAGCAGAUGCUGCGGUGGAAUGAAAGUUUUUUCUUUCUGAUUUCAAAUGAAGCCUUGCUUUCACUUAGUGCCUUCUAAUAUGUACAUUGAAACAAUUUUCUCAGAAAUGCUCAUGGAAUAAUAAUGAAUUUGUUGAUUGAUCUUUUUGAUCGCUAGAACAAUGCCAUCUCUAUAAAUGUUACUCAAAUCAAAA